Molecule: non-coding RNA, 526 nt
Organism: Poecilia latipinna (sailfin molly)
Lineage: Eukaryota; Metazoa; Chordata; Actinopteri; Cyprinodontiformes; Poeciliidae
Source: the annotation of a RefSeq genome assembly
CUUCACUGCUGCUGAACAAACAGAAGCUGAAAUGAGAGCUGCCUUCUUUAACACGGUUUUUAUUAUCUGCUUCCUUGUUUCCUUUCGAUUGCCAGUAAAUAAUGGAGCCUCUGACUCCAAAGACGUCGACCAAAUUCCUCAUUCCAUUAUUAAGAAAAUUGGUGAAUCUGUGGACAAAGAGAUCAGAUGUUCACACAGCAUACCGAGCUACCAAGUCAUUCUGUGGUACAAACAAGACAAGCAUAAAGCUCUGAAGCUCCUGGGAUAUCAGAAUAAUGACUUUGCUAAUCUUGAACAAGAUGUGAAAGGGAAAAUAAACUUUGAAGGAGAUGGGCGCAAACAAUCCAUCCUCACUGUUUCUAAUCUCACAGUAGACGACAGUGCUGUGUAUUUCUGUGCUGCCAGUCAACACAGUGCAGCAGAAUCCCAUGAAGUCAAUACAAAAACUCUGCAGAAAGAGAGAGAACACCUGGAGUCAGCCUCCAUGUCAGACUCAGACCAAUCAAAAAGAAAAGAAUCAUCAUAA